ACGAACGCUGGCGGCGUGCCUAAUACCUGCAAGUAGAACGCUGAAGGAGGAGCUUGCUUCUCUGGACGAGUUGCGAACGGGUGAGUAACGCGUAGGUAACCUGCCUGGUAGCGGGGGAUAACUAUUGGAAACGAUAGCUAAUACCGCAUAAUAGUAGAUGUUGCAUGACAUUUGCUUAAAAGGUGCAAUUGCAUCACUACCAGAUGGACCUGCGUUGUAUUAGCUAGUUGGUGGGGUAACGGCUCACCAAGGCGACGAUACAUAGCCGACCUGAGAGGGUGAUCGGCCACACUGGGACUGAGACACGGCCCAGACUCCUACGGGAGGCAGCAGUAGGGAAUCUUCGGCAAUGGACGGAAGUCUGACCGAGCAACGCCGCGUGAGUGAAGAAGGGUUUCGGAUCGUAAAGCUCUGUUGUAAGAGAAGAACGAGUGUGAGAGUGGAAAGUUCACACUGUGACGGUAUCUUACCAGAAAGGGACGGCUAACUACGUG
This 494-nucleotide ribosomal RNA is filed under the name uncultured bacterium. Its description in RNAcentral is "partial 16S ribosomal RNA". It matches the Rfam family "Bacterial small subunit ribosomal RNA", at positions 29 to 507 of the family's 1533-position model. The record is from RNAcentral.